RNAcentral lists this ribosomal RNA (252 nucleotides) under uncultured archaeon. Its description in RNAcentral is "partial 16S ribosomal RNA". It matches the Rfam family "Archaeal small subunit ribosomal RNA", at positions 474 to 727 of the family's 1478-position model. The record is from RNAcentral.
AACCAGCACCUCAAGUGGUUAGGAUGAUUAUUGGGCCUAAAGCAUCCGUAGCCUGUUUUGUAGUUCCCGGUUAAAUCUAAGCGCUCAACGUAUAGGCUGCCGAAAAUACUGCAGAACUAGGGAGUGGGAGAGGUAGACGGUACUCGGUAGGAAGGGGUAAAAUCCUUUGAUCUAUCGAUGACCACCUGUGGCGAAGGCGGUCUACCAGAACACGUUCGACGGUGAGGGAUGAAAGCUGGGGGAGCAAACCGG